Molecule: ribosomal RNA, 253 nt
Filed under: uncultured bacterium
Lineage: Bacteria
Description: partial 16S ribosomal RNA
Rfam family: Bacterial small subunit ribosomal RNA
Source: RNAcentral
UACGGGGGGGGCAAGCGUUGUUCGGAAUUACUGGGCGUAAAGGGCUCGUAGGUGGCCAACUAAGUCAGACGUGAAAUCCCUCAGCUUAACUGGGGAACUGCGUCUGAUACUGGAUGGCUUGAGUUUGGGAGAGGGAUGCGGAAUUCCAGGUGUAGCGGUGAAAUGCGUAGAUAUCAGGAGGAACACCGAUGGCGAAGGCAGGUCUCUGGGCUGACACUGACGCUCAUGCACGAAAGCGUGGGGAGCAAGCAGG